AGAACAUUCUACAGAAAGCAUUUGUGAUGGCCUCUUGCCCUUGAGGAGCCGUGCCCCGCAUCUUUGGACCUUGGUUCCCAGGACCUACCAACAUGAUCCCAUCUUGGAUUUAGGUUUCUAGCUCCUUGGCCAGAGUCUGAGGGAAUAAUGAAAUCAAUACACUCAAUCCAUAUUGUGCAUAUGGUUUUGAACUCUAGGUUUGGGGGUUCUGAGGUGCAACCCAAUCAAAAGGGCCUGUUAACAGCACCAUUUGUGAGAGAGAUUUCUAGGUUGGAUGUUUGUCUUCUGCAGUUGACUUCGAUUAUCUGUCUCUGGUGGGCCCAGAACAAAAAGUUUUGGUAAGGCAAAACUAGGCUCUGAUUUUGUAGGCAUGGCAUUCAUUAUGUAAGCGUACAGGUCUAUGUUUCAAAAUGAAAAAUAACAAUAAUAAUUAAAGUUUCUCUAGGCUUCUUGUGUCCAAACCACUCUUGCAAAAUCACCUUUGGAUGAGCUUUAAGUGUCAGCAAAUCAGAAACAUGUGGAUUUAAUUUCCUUUGAAAUACACCAGGGGACCAAGGGGCAACAGGGCUUGGCAACCAGCUUCUUAGGGUUUGCCAAACCCCAAAUACCUCACACUCUGGAAGAGCUGUCCCGCUGGCCCCCAGCAGUCUUAUCUGGCCAGUCCAGCCGCUGCAUUUCUUGCUAUCCCAACUAGGUUUUCUCUAACCAUUAGGCUGUUCUCUUGGUCCAUUUUAGCUGCCAGAAGGACACUGUUAACACCACCCACAUGCAUAACAGAACUUUGGAAGAGGGACCAGACUGCAAUGAGGUGUCAGGUUGGCUUCAGUCUUAUCUGGACGAACAGGCCAUCUUUGCAGCCAUUACUAUGUCUUUAAAACCCAAACCAACUGUGAGAGAGGUUUUUCCAACUUGACUUCUAGAUGGGAAAAUAUUUUGCUUUUAUGGUGGAUGAUGGUAUUGGGCCCCAAAUAUAUUAGGUUUCAUGAUCAUCCAUCACUCAUGCAUAUAAUAUGAAACAUGUCCAUACUCUGCAAAGACCACAGCCACCCCGCCAUUAGGUUCCAAGGUAAAUAUAGGCCCACAAACCUCCUGGAGAAACAGAGAAGUUUCCUUCGAGGAGAGGAACCACAGUUGUGUAGUUGUGAUGCAUCUCUGAAACCCCUAUCCCUAUCCCCUGGUCUACUCUACCCAAAGAGUAAGGAUAUGCCAAUAGAUCUGUGUCGUUCUCUGGCCCAUUGUUUUUCUUUCUUGGUAUUAAUGCUUCUCUUUUUCUGUUCUAUAUUUUCUAUGUCUUGUGUCUCUUUUGCCUUAAAUACCAAUGUACAUUUAAUGCAAAGGGCCAACUGAAGCUUUAAAAAGUACUUUUCACAUCCGAAACAACUAAUGCUUUAGUGCCUGUGUGUCAUAUGUUUACAUAUACUGAUUUCUUUGUUAUCCUUAUCUUACUGAAGGGGCAACAGAGGCAGCGCCAGAGAGACAGAGUAACCUACACAUCACACAACCAGUAAAUAAAAGCUCAACCUUGAUUUCUGGCCACUGGGCUCCAGAAAUGGUGUUCUAUCCAGGGCUCAAUGCUGUCUCCUACUCCAUUGUUUUGUAUGUCAAGUUGACUGGCCCAUGAGGUGCCCAGAUGUUGGUCAAGCAUUAUUCUGUUUUCAUGGAGGAUGUUUGGGGAUGAGAUUAACAUUUAAAUUGGUAGACUGAGUAAAGCAGACCCCCGGACCUUGUAGUGUGUGUGUGGACCUCAUCCAAUCAGUUGAAGGCCUUAACAGAACAAAAAUACUGAUUCUCCCCUGAGUAAGAGGUACUUCUCUUGCCUGUCCUAUUGAGCUGGGACAUUGGCUUUCUUCUGCUUGAACUUGAACCGAAGAAAUAUCAGCUCUUCUGGGGUGUUGAGCCUACUGGCAUUGGGUUAGAACUUCACACCUGGUUCUCCUGGUUCUCAGGCCUUUGGAGUUGGACUGAAAAUACACCAUUGGCUCCCCUGAGUGUCUAGCUUGCCAACUCACCCUGCAGAUCUUAGGACUUGUCAGCUUACAUAAUGACACAAGCCAGUCCCUUAUAAUAUCUCUGUUUCCGUCUAUCUGUCUAUCUCUAUUUACCCUAUUGGUUCUAUUUCUCCAAAGAACCCUAAUACAAACUUUUCUUAUUGAAUUUGCCAGGCAAUCCUGUGGAGGUGGAGGUGAUGGAUCAUCGCUGCUUGCCAGACGAGGAAAAACCUAGAACAUGUUCAUUUUAUCCAUGCACGUGUACCUGUACACAUAUAUGCACACACAUAUACACACCUGAAUUCAGGACAAAGAGCAAAAUCAAGGUCCACGCAUUUCUUAUUCAGCACUUCUUCCCCAAGGCAUCCACAGAGCAGCCACAGUUGGCAUCGUUAGGUUUUUCCAGACCUUCUCGCAGAAAACUCUGCCUGGAGUAUCGGGUGACAGAGGAACCACUGCUAUUUUGUUUGUUCUUCAAAUUCCAUAUUGUAAAUUCCAGCCAAAAAAACCAACGAAGUAAAGAAUUGGGAACCUUGCAAGUUCCCACCUGGAAACAGUGAAUAUAGGGAAUGGAUCCCUGAGGGUACAAUUACCUCUGAACAAUUGGGUGCUGAGCUGGACAAGGAUAUCUGGCUAGUGGAAUUUUUGUGCAAAAAUCUUUUAUCUUUGUUAGCUCAUGUAAACUCCAAGGCCAUUCACUGUGUCAAGACUAUUGACACUUAUCCUAGGUGUUUACUUUUCAAGGCUUUGUCUUUUAUAAAGCCACCCCAGCCUCAGGGUUAAGAAGAAAUCAGGUUCUCUACUCUCACCCCACCCCCUGCCUCUUGCUUUUACAGUAUCCACUGUGGCAGUCCAGGACAACAGGUGAGCUAGUAAACACUGAAGGUGUGUCCUGACUGUCCACUCAAAGCCAAGGUAGACUGGUGAUCCACUAACAUCUUCAACUGCUUGUACCGAGUGGUCAGAAACUCAGGAGGACAUGUCUGUGCCUUUCUACUGCUGUGUCUAAGCAGCAGAGGGGAAUUCUAUGCUGGGCUUUAGCAGCCUCAGGACCCUUGCAGCAUCCUCUGAACCUCCCUGCUCUCCAGCUUCCCACCCUGAGCUUUUUUUCUGUUGAAAGUGGCUGGGGGUGACGGGGGAAUGGUGCAUCCACUUGAGGCACACAACUCCCACGCACACCUCCCUCUGUUUCUGUGGGAGCUGAGAAGCUGGGGGCCGAGAAGGCUGGCUGGGAAGGAAAGGCUGGGACUGAUCCUGCAAAGAUGGGGCAGGAGGUGGUGCUUGUAAGCAGGGAGCUUUGGUUUUAAUGAAUAAAAUCUAAAAACCCCAAGUUCCCACCUGGGGACCUUGGGGUCAGUAGGUGGAAUCCAGUUUGGUCAAAGGGUAAUCAUUCUCAUCCUUUAACUGAAAACCUUCUCCCUCUCUCCCAACCCCCUAGCCCUAGAACAAUACUAUUUUCAAAAGGUUUGGUUUGGGCUUCACACGGUGCACUAGUUGUUGUGAGUGGCAAAGAAAAAAAAAAAAAAAGAGCAUUUUCCAUUUAAAAAAUGAGCCUCAAAUUCACUAGUUCUUCCUCAAGCCAAAAGCUUCUGACUUGCACUGGCUUCUCUCUAAUGGAUAAUGGGUAGUUUUUCAUACUUUGAAAAACACUGCUUUUUUUUUUUUUUUUUUUCCCCUCUCCGGUUGAGUAAGCUCUUGCAAGUGGGAUUAAACAAGAAACGCCAUUUCUCAUGGAAAUGGCUUUAUUUCCAUUAUACCCACACUGGCUUGUUUUCAGAGUGGCUCAGACGUGCUGGACAAUGUAUCCUGAAUUGAGGAAGAAAAGGGAGAUGGUUGAAACCUUUGCUUUGAGGGAAGAAACCCAGCAAAGAGAUCUAUUCAUUCGCAUUGACCUUGGAGAUAGAUAUCACGUAAUGCUACAGUUUAGGCCUAAUUAUUUGUGGAGGAGCAAGCAGGGCUCCUGUUCUGUGUUUUGUAGCCAUGGACCUCCCCUCUGCUGGGUGCCCCAGUAUCGGGUGCCGCUCACGAGCGGGCCGGGUGUGUUUGAUGGGUGCUGACACGGCCUGGUCACAUUCCCUCUCAACAGAGCUGUCCUUAGCAGCCAGCCUGGUGUCAUUGGUGAUGCCACAGAAUAACAUGUAUACCUGCCUGUAGGAUAACACCGGGUUUCUACCUGGUUCCCUUCUGAGAUACUUCCAGCCUGCAAGAGGAUCUGAUUGCACUUUAGAUUUACUUAGGUAGCCUUCACAAAUAUUGAUUCACGUUGAAACCUCCUAAAAGAAAUACACCUAGCUCCACCCCAGAUCAAUAUCACAGAAUCAUGUGGGGAUGGAUCCUGGGCAUGAUCAACAUUAAAAAAAAAACAAAAA
RNAcentral lists this long non-coding RNA (4357 nucleotides) under Canis lupus familiaris (dog). RNAcentral's name for it is "lncRNA (ENSCAFG00845025769.1)". Lineage: Eukaryota; Metazoa; Chordata; Mammalia; Carnivora; Canidae. The record is from RNAcentral.